CUCUCCGUGGAGGUUCGUCCGACGUGCUCAUGCCCCCCCCCGCCCCCCGCGAACUCCCCUGGUGUUAUAAAAGCGCAGAGCGCGUCACAAAUGCGCACAGAGAGCGAGUUUCGGGUCUGCGGUGCAACCAUGGCCGAAGCUUCCACAGAAGAGGCUUCCAACAUGCCAACGACAACAGAGCCGAGUUGGACAGCUGAGGCAGAAAAGGCUACGACUGAAUCAGCUGCACCAACAUGGGAUCCACAAAUGCAGCCACCGGGAGGAAAGAAGACAGCAUCAGAGAUGCGGAACAACCUGUGGAAGGGCCAGUUGAGGGAAAUCAUCCCACUGGCUAUUUCCGCUUGGGAGACUAUGGAGACCUUGAUACCUGCGAUGAUGAAGCAAGGAGGGAAGAAGGCCGGGGCUCUUGGAGGAGGAGCUUUUGGAGGUGUGACAAACAUUGUGAGAGCAUUGCAGCCACGAAACCGUGCACCAGAACCAGGACCUUCUGGAAUGCAGAACGUCGAGAGUUCAAUCUAAGAACCGAGUUAUGUGAGGACGAGCCAGCCCUACACCCCUACACCCCCAUGAGUUUAUACCUGAGCAAAGUGGAGCGCAUAGAGUUAAUUACAAGGGCAAGAACUAAAUUUGGCAUCUUUUUAUUUAAAUCUCUCUCACUUCCUUGGUCCACUUGUCUUUUUUUGGAUUCCCAAAGAAUCUGAAUAUCUAAAAUGUGUAAAACGAUGAUCUUUCCAAUCACCACUUAGAUCAUUGAAUGCUUUUUAUUUGUUUUACACAAAAUAAAUGACUGGAAAGGUUUAAUCGGGAGUGUUGUCGUUAAUUUGU
Molecule: long non-coding RNA, 825 nt
Filed under: Eptatretus burgeri (inshore hagfish)
Lineage: Eukaryota; Metazoa; Chordata; Myxini; Myxiniformes; Myxinidae
Description: lncRNA (ENSEBUG00000017320.1)
Source: RNAcentral